AGCAGCCGCGGUAAUUCCAGCUCCAAUAGCGUAUAUUAAAGUUGUUGCAGUUAAAAAGCUCGUAGUUGAAUUUCGGGAUCAAUACGUCGGUCGUGCUUCGGUACGUACUGGCGUCAUUGGUUUCUCCCUUCUGACGAACCAUGAUGUCAUUAACUUGGUGUCAUGGGAAAUCAGGACUGUUACUUUGAAAAAAUUAGAGUGUUUAAAGCAGGCUCACGCUUGAAUACAUUAGCAUGGAAUAAUGAAAUAGGACGUUCGAUUCUAUUUUGUUGGUUUCUAGGAUCAACGUAAUGAUUAAUAGGGAUAGUUGGGGGCAUUAGUAUUCAAUUGUCANAGGUGAAAUUCUUGGAUUUAUUGAAGACUAACUACUGCGAAAGCAUUUGCCAAGGAUGUUUUCAUUAAUCAAGAACGAAAGUUAGGGGAUCGAAGACGUAUCGAGAUACCGUCGUAGUCUUUAACCAUAAACUAUGCCGACUAGGGAUCGGGAUGUAGUGUUUAAUUUUUAAUGUAACUCUAUCGG
RNAcentral lists this ribosomal RNA (520 nucleotides) under uncultured Glomus. RNAcentral describes it as "SSU rRNA". It matches the Rfam family "Eukaryotic small subunit ribosomal RNA", at positions 569 to 1083 of the family's 1831-position model. Lineage: Eukaryota; Fungi; Glomeromycota; Glomeromycetes; Glomerales; Glomeraceae. The record is from RNAcentral.